GCGCUCGAGGAUGAGCCUGCGGCCCAUCAGCUAGUUGGUAGGGUAAUGGCCUACCAAGGCGAAGACGGGUAGCUGGUCUGAGAGGAUGAGCAGCCACACUGGAACUGAGACACGGUCCAG
RNAcentral lists this ribosomal RNA (120 nucleotides) under uncultured bacterium. Its description in RNAcentral is "partial 16S ribosomal RNA". It matches the Rfam family "Bacterial small subunit ribosomal RNA", at positions 215 to 334 of the family's 1533-position model. The record is from RNAcentral.